AAUGGGCACUUACUAUACGACAAGCACUGUGCGAACUGGGCGUACAAUGACUCUGAGGCCUGGCUCUUUCUCUCCAGGCACAGGCAGACCAAUGUGGGAGACAGAUAAGGACGCGUUGCAGAGUGGUGUGAGAACUGCCAUAAGGAAGCGCCCAAGGCUGUGUGAUGUGGGCACAGAGGUGUAUGUUUGAAAAGAAAAAUCCUGGGACUUACCCACCAAGUUUGCUAGGACUGUGAACAAGGAGUUGAAUGGUGUUAGUGAACUCGGUGAGGAAGCCAGAAGCUGCUUCCAGCUGCUCGUCACCAAGCACAGUUGCUUGAAACAUGGGACUUGAAAAUAUGCUGCUAAGACUGAAGUCAAAGAGUACUGCCUAACUGCUCAUCAAGCCACACUGAGGCGGCGUCCCACAUGCCACAACUAGAAGGACCCACAACUAAGAAUGUACAACUAUAUACCGGGGGGCUUU
RNAcentral lists this long non-coding RNA (466 nucleotides) under Equus asinus (donkey). Its description in RNAcentral is "lncRNA (ENSEASG00005025735.1)". The record is from RNAcentral. Lineage: Eukaryota; Metazoa; Chordata; Mammalia; Perissodactyla; Equidae.